RNAcentral lists this ribosomal RNA (440 nucleotides) under uncultured bacterium. Its description in RNAcentral is "partial 16S ribosomal RNA". It matches the Rfam family "Bacterial small subunit ribosomal RNA", at positions 338 to 795 of the family's 1533-position model. The record is from RNAcentral.
CCUACGGGAGGCAGCAGUGGGGGAUAUUGCACAAUGGGGGAAACCCUGAUGCAGCGACGCCGCGUGUGGGAAGACGGUCCUCUGGAUUGUAAACCACUGUCCCCAGGGACGAAGAUGACGGUACCUGGGGAGGAAGCUCCGGCUAACUACGUGCCAGCAGCCGCGGUAAUACGUAGGGAGCGAGCGUUGUCCGGAAUUACUGGGUGUAAGGGGAGCGUAGGCGGGACUGCAAGUUGGGUGUCAAAUCUACCGGCUCAACCGGUAGCCGCACUCAAAACUGCAGUUCUUGAGUGAAGUAGAGGCAGGCGGAAUUCCUAGUGUAGCGGUGAAAUACGUAGAUAUUAGGAGGAACACCAGUGGCGAAGGCGGCCUGCUGGGCUUUUACUGACGCUGAGGCUCGAAAGUGUGGGGAGCAAACAGGAUUAGAUACCCCUGUAGUC